RNAcentral lists this ribosomal RNA (805 nucleotides) under soil bacterium Cipr-S3N-M1LLLSSL-2. Its description in RNAcentral is "bacterial SSU rRNA". It matches the Rfam family "Bacterial small subunit ribosomal RNA", at positions 85 to 886 of the family's 1533-position model. The record is from RNAcentral.
UUGCUGACGAGUGGCGGACGGGUGAGUAAUGUCUGGGAAACUGCCUGAUGGAGGGGGAUAACUACUGGAAACGGUAGCUAAUACCGCAUAACGUCGCAAGACCAAAGAGGGGGACCUUCGGGCCUCUUGCCAUCGGAUGUGCCCAGAUGGGAUUAGCUAGUAGGUGGGGUAACGGCUCACCUAGGCGACGAUCCCUAGCUGGUCUGAGAGGAUGACCAGCCACACUGGAACUGAGACACGGUCCAGACUCCUACGGGAGGCAGCAGUGGGGAAUAUUGCACAAUGGGCGCAAGCCUGAUGCAGCCAUGCCGCGUGUAUGAAGAAGGCCUUCGGGUUGUAAAGUACUUUCAGCGGGGAGGAAGGGAGUAAAGUUAAUACCUUUGCUCAUUGACGUUACCCGCAGAAGAAGCACCGGCUAACUCCGUGCCAGCAGCCGCGGUAAUACGGAGGGUGCAAGCGUUAAUCGGAAUUACUGGGCGUAAAGCGCACGCAGGCGGUUUGUUAAGUCAGAUGUGAAAUCCCCGGGCUCAACCUGGGAACUGCAUCUGAUACUGGCAAGCUUGAGUCUCGUAGAGGGGGGUAGAAUUCCAGGUGUAGCGGUGAAAUGCGUAGAGAUCUGGAGGAAUACCGGUGGCGAAGGCGGCCCCCUGGACGAAGACUGACGCUCAGGUGCGAAAGCGUGGGGAGNCAACAGGAUUAGAUACCCUGGUAGUCCACGCCGUAAACGAUGUCGACUUGGAGGUUGUGCCCUUGAGGCGUGGCUUCCGGAGCUAACGCGUAAAGUCGACCGCCUGGGGAGUACGGC